CGCCUGUUUAUCAAAAACAUGUCCUCUUGUUCUUAAAUUUGAGGUUAGGCCUGCUCAAUGAAUAUUUAAAUAGCUGCAGUAUUUUAACUGUACUAAGGUAGCAUAAUCAAUUGUCUUUUAAUUGGAGGCUAGAAUGAAAGGUUUGACAAAGAAUCAGCUUUCUUUAUCUUAUUAAUUGAAUUUUAUUUUUUAGUUAAAAAGCUAAAAUGUUAUUGUAGGACGAGAAGACCCUAUAGAUCUUUAUAUUUUAAAAAUUGUAAAUUAAUUAGUAAAUAUGAAUUUAUAAUUAUAUAGAUAUUUUGUUGGGGUGACUUUAGAAAUAUUAAACUUCUAAUAUAUUAAUCAUUAAUUUAUGUAUAUAUGAUCCAUUUUUAGUGAUUAGAAGACUAAGUUACCUUAGGGAUAACAGCGUUAUUACUCUGGAGAGAUCUUAUUAAUAGAGUAGCUUGCGACCUCGAUGUUGGAUUAAAAUUAACCCUUGGUGUAGCAGCUAAUGGGUUAGGUCUGUUCGACCUUUUAAAUUUUACAUGAUCUGAGUUCAAACCGGAG
RNAcentral lists this ribosomal RNA (549 nucleotides) under Empicoris sp. 2 CW-2009. RNAcentral describes it as "partial 16S ribosomal RNA". It matches the Rfam family "Bacterial large subunit ribosomal RNA", at positions 1797 to 2621 of the family's 2925-position model. The record is from RNAcentral. Lineage: Eukaryota; Metazoa; Arthropoda; Insecta; Hemiptera; Reduviidae.